RNAcentral lists this ribosomal RNA (460 nucleotides) under uncultured bacterium. RNAcentral's name for it is "partial 16S ribosomal RNA". It matches the Rfam family "Bacterial small subunit ribosomal RNA", at positions 338 to 795 of the family's 1533-position model. The record is from RNAcentral.
CCUACGGGUGGCAGCAGUGAGGAAUAUUGGUCAAUGGACGAGAGUCUGAACCAGCCAAGUAGCGUGAAGGAUGACUGCCCUAUGGGUUGUAAACUUCUUUUAUAUGGGAAUAAACUGUUCCACGUGUGGGAUUUUGUAUGUACCAUAUGCAUAAGGAUCGGCUAACUCCGUGCCAGCAGCCGCGGUAAUACGGAGGAUCCGAGCGUUAUCCGGAUUUAUUGGGUUUAAAGGGAGCGUAGGUGGCUGGUUAAGUCAGUUGUGAAAGUUUGCGGCUCAACCGUAAAAUUGCAGUUGAAACUGGCAGUCUUGAGUACAGUAGAGGUGGGCGGAAUGCGUGGUGUAGCGGUGAAAUGCUUAGAUAUCACGAAGAACUCCGAUUGCGAAGGCAGUUCACUGGACUGCAACUGACACUGAGGCUCGAAAGUGUGGGUAUCAAACAGGAUUAGAUACCCUGGUAGUC